Long non-coding RNA from Cercocebus atys (sooty mangabey), 1381 nucleotides. RefSeq lists it as uncharacterized. The record is from RefSeq and is a predicted model, not a curated record. Lineage: Eukaryota; Metazoa; Chordata; Mammalia; Primates; Cercopithecidae. The transcript is spliced from 2 exons.
CACUCUUAGACCUUCCUCCACCAGGAAGCCAUCCGGAAUCGUCUCUGUAACCCCACAACACUUGAGAGUCUCUUCCCCACAGGUGACAGUGGCCUUUGCAGCACAAGUCCUUGUCUGAUGGACUGCACAGAUAAUGGUCUGUGAUCUGAGUGGGGAAUGGAUGUUCUGGAGUGUUCCAGUCCACUUCCCUAUGCACUAUGAGUCUGCUCCUUCACUACCCGUCUGCUUGGAGUGUACACAUUAGCCCUGAUCCCAGUGCCCAGCUUGGGGCUCAGGACAGGGAGGGUUGGCUUUUGGAGUACACACCACUGAAUUGAUCCUGUGCUUCAUGCAGAAAUCUCUGACCAUGGUGGAAGAGGUUCCUGGGCACAACACACGAGUCCUAUGAACCACACAGAGAGAUCCAUGCCAAUCACGGGGCCCAUCCCAUGGGCCACAGAGCAAAGCAAAGAAUGACCCAGAAAAGAUCCCAGACUCCAGCAAGAUCUAUGUAGAGAGAGAGAGACAGAGGAGACCCCUGACACAAUGCAAAUCCAGUUUAUGUUGCCAAGACACUAGAUGCGCUGGGACAGAUCACGUGAACGACAGCACUCUGAAACGGAGCUCAUGUGCAGACCAGCGCAGACCCUUCAUAAAUGACUGUGUCCACACUAAACAGCUCCCAGCAGGGCAGCUGGGCAGAGCAUUAAUGACGAGGAAGGCCUUGGUAUCUAACUCUGGAAAUCCUUAUUUGCAUUCAGGCUCUGAGGGAUAAAACGAGGAUGGGUGAGGACAGGGUAGAUAAGCCCACUGGGAGUCUAAUUCACACAGCUUUUCUCAUUCUCCCUGACAAGCUGGCUCCCUUGGUGAGCUGUUACCAAACUCCAGCCCUGAAGACUUUACGGUGCUCCAGAACCAGCACCCUUCGCACCACCACGGCCCGAGGCAGUCCUCCUCUGGAUGAGAACUCAACACAGCUCUCUUUUCUGAUCCUGCCAGCAGGGAAACUGGGAGCAUCCUUUCUCCUUCAUCUGGAGAGGGAGCUGAAGAAGGAUUCUUGGAGUGCCUGUUUUCUUCUUCCAAUUGAGGAUCGUUCAAAAUCAUCUGUAAGACACUGUGAGUGCCUCACAUUGCCAGAUCUUAACCUAUCCCAGACCCUGCAAACCUUGGCCACAUUUCUGUAGUGCCUACAGCUGUCUCAUAGGGCGCUACUCCAGAACGCGGCUGGGCAGGCUUUUGUAUGUUCAGUCAGUGGAUCCAUGGAGAUUAUCUCAGAGGACAGCUUCCUACAGCGUGGAGGAACAGAUACACGCCUCUGGCUUUGUUCUCCUUCUUUUUGCGUUGAGUUGACCUGUGUAUCAAUUUGAAAUCCCAAGAAAUCCCUCUUUUUUCCAUUUUGCUA